Molecule: transfer RNA, 72 nt
Organism: Ovis aries (sheep)
Lineage: Eukaryota; Metazoa; Chordata; Mammalia; Artiodactyla; Bovidae
Rfam family: tRNA
About the family: Transfer RNA (tRNA) molecules are approximately 80 nucleotides in length. Their secondary structure includes four short double-helical elements and three loops (D, anti-codon, and T loops).
Source: Rfam
UUCCUGGUGGUUCAGUGGUUAGGACUUGACACUUUUACUGCUGGGGCCUAGGUUCAUUCCCUGGUCAGGGAA